UGAGUAACGCGUGAGUAACCUGCCCUGGAGUGGGGGGACGAACAGUUGGAAACGAACUGCUAAUACCGCAUAAGCCCACGGAUCCGCAUGGAUCUGCGGGAAAAGGAUUUAUUCGCUUCAGGAUGGACUCGCGUCCAAUUAGCUAGUUGGUGAGGUAACGGCCCACCAAGGCGACGAUUGGUAGCCGGACUGAGAGGUUGAACGGCCACAUUGGGACUGAGACACGGCCCAGACUCCUACGGGAGGCAGCAUG
RNAcentral lists this ribosomal RNA (253 nucleotides) under uncultured bacterium. RNAcentral's name for it is "partial 16S ribosomal RNA". It matches the Rfam family "Bacterial small subunit ribosomal RNA", at positions 107 to 353 of the family's 1533-position model. The record is from RNAcentral.